AUGUCGCCUCCUCUCCCUGCUCCACCAACCGAGAGGAGGACGCUCAUCCAUUCGCUCACUAUACAUGUCCUCGAUGUGGUGGACCGCACGGUUCCAUACUUGGAGCUUCAUACCAACUUCCAGCCGGAUGAUGAUGAGGAUCUGACGAGGAGACAUGACUAUUCACGGUGCUGCUGCAGAGGAAGGGUCGACGGCACGGGCGGUCACCCGUUCGGGGGCCUGGGGGGCUACGGCAUGGCUGGAGACUGGGGUGGCGGCCGCAGAGUCAAUGGUGUCCAGCCGCCGGCGGGCGGCAUGGCACUCUCUUUGGGCGACCAGGGCUAUGGAUCGACAACCAGGACUGGCGAUGGUGCAACUGUGACGGCGGUCCCUGCCUGGCCUGGUGUGCACCCCCCUGUUGGCGCUGGUGCUCGGGCUGGUCCGGCUGUCAGGCCAGCCCCUGGGAACCGCCGACCUGCUUCUUCGGGCAUGGGCUCGGGCCGUUGUAGUUCGCUGGCAUCCACGGCUGUUGGCUCGAGGGCUCGCGUUGACACACCCUUGGUGCCGUUGUCCGUGGCGACCACUGCGGUCGACUCUAAGGCUCUUAGGAGUACGCCAUCCUUGCGCAAGGCUGACCUCUGGGGCACGCCGCCGCCUCGCCGGUUGUCCUUCAGCCCGGCGUCUCCGGUGACCUCUGCGGAACAUGGUCAGGAGACUGUUGGCCUAACAUUUGCUGUCCAAGCUGUGGAGGUGGGAGGUCCGGCGAGCAGGGCUGUAUCGAGCGCCGCUGACAACCUGGGAGUGCAGAUUUGGAACCGGAUGGAAGAUGAUGAGGGGACAACUCUCACGCAAGAGAUGGGUUUGUCCAUCCAGAUUCACCCUGCUCGCUGCAGCUGCCCCAGCCAUGUGCAGACACCGUUCGCGACCCCCCUUCCUCAACACUUGCUACUGCCGCCCACGACGGCCAGGGAAGGGGACACUCCUAUGUUGGGGCCAAGGACGGCGUCGGAGACGCGGUUGCAGGGCCUGGGAACCUCUCUGAUGCCUUCAGCUAUGGGUCCGAGACCAGCCACGUCAGCCCCAGCCAAACGCAAGAUGCCUUUGCCGCCCAACUUCACGCCCAGAUGGAGCGCACGCCUCUGCAAGAACACUAUGGGACACAACUCCGGAUGGCAACGGGGACGAAACUCAUCGGGUUUUGCCUUCUCAAACCCAUCCCCACGAGAAAAUCUUAAAUCCGUCCCCGUUCCCAUCAUCGUGCGCGGGGCUAGUUUUCCGCCCGUUCCCUAA
Molecule: ribosomal RNA, 1269 nt
Filed under: Triticum aestivum (bread wheat)
Lineage: Eukaryota; Viridiplantae; Streptophyta; Magnoliopsida; Poales; Poaceae
Description: partial small subunit ribosomal RNA
Source: RNAcentral